This is a long non-coding RNA of Magnolia sinica, 684 nucleotides long. RefSeq lists it as uncharacterized. The record is from RefSeq and is a predicted model, not a curated record. NCBI's taxonomy places the organism in Eukaryota, Viridiplantae, Streptophyta, Magnoliopsida, Magnoliales, Magnoliaceae. The transcript has 3 exons.
CUAUUAACUCAUUUUUCCUUCAUUCAAUAUAAAAGAAAAUAGAUUUUUUAGUUGAUAUGGAUGACUUGUACAGGAUUAUGUUUGUUUGUAGUGUUUGAUUUGAUUGAAAUUCAUUUGGUGGCCUGAUAGCUAGAAGUGGUUUAUCAUGUUUCAUAGCUGUUUCAUUUGUUGGCAAUGCUGCUUUGUGCCAUUUUUUUCUCCUUUUUCCUUUUCUGAUGUUUCUUUUCCUCAAAAUCUAUAUUAUUGUUUCAGCUUUUCUGAAUUGGAUAUUUUAUAUGAUUAUAGGUCCUGUUGCUGAAGACAUGUUCCACUGGCAAGUAACAAUUAUGGGACCAGCAAAUAGCCCCUUUGUAGGGAAAGAAUUUAGUGGGAAAAAUGUAAGCCAAAGGCUGAUGUUAGAUUUCUUAGACGAACACCAAGAUAGCCCACGAGUCCUCUAGUGGUGGUUCGCCAUCGAAUAAUUACAGAAGACGCACAGGAGAAGUUAUCGGUAUAGUUGUCGGAUGUGCAGGUGGACUACUGAUACUCGCAGCUAUUUUCUAUCUAUGGUGGAUGAAUGAUGCACCUGGCCAUAUGCGAGUGCGCAUAGACUCGCCAAGAUUUGUAUUUUCAGCAUUACUGUAAUUGAUUGAAUGAAAGAUUGUAAUUGAUUCAUUAUUGAAUGAAUGAUUGUAAUUGAAUGAA